GUGAGGAAUUUUCCGCAAUGGGCGAAAGCCUGACGGAGCAAUGCCGCGUGAAGGAUGAAGGCCUAUGGGUUGUAAACUUCUUUUCUCAGAAAAGAAUUAUGACGGUAUCUGAGGAAUAAGCAUCGGCUAACUCUGUGCCAGCAGCCGCGGUAAGACAGAGGAUGCAAGCGUUAUCCGGAAUGAUUGGGCGCAAAGCGUCUGUAGGUUGUUUAAAAAGUAUUCUGUCAAAGAUUAGGGCUUAACCCUAGAUAGGCAGAAUAAACUUUUAAGCUAGAGUUUGGUAGAGGCAGAGGGAAUUCCCGGUGGAGCGGUGAAAUGCGUAGAUAUCGGGAGGAACACCAAAGGCGAAGGCACUCUGCUGGGCCAAUACUAACACUGAGAGACGAAAGCGAGGGGAGCAAAUGGGAUUAGAAACCCCUGUAGUCC
RNAcentral lists this ribosomal RNA (426 nucleotides) under uncultured bacterium. Its description in RNAcentral is "partial 16S ribosomal RNA". It matches the Rfam family "Bacterial small subunit ribosomal RNA", at positions 354 to 796 of the family's 1533-position model. The record is from RNAcentral.